This 1255-nucleotide unclassified non-coding RNA is filed under the name Hevea brasiliensis (rubber tree). Lineage: Eukaryota; Viridiplantae; Streptophyta; Magnoliopsida; Malpighiales; Euphorbiaceae. The record is from RNAcentral.
GAAAUGUAGCAAUAAUAGUUAUGAGAAGGAAAACCAGUGAAUAUACAACAUCCAUGUUCAUAAAAUUAGACCAUUUCUUACCAGAAAAGAAAGAUCGUUCAAACAUUUAGCUGUGGACGGAAAAGAUUAUUCGUCUCUAAACACAACAUAGGCGAAUAUAUUUACGCCUCCCAACCUCUCAAUUGUGUUGCACGUGCAACGCGAUUCACCCCCAACGUGAAGGCGCCCAUACGAAGAUUGCAACUAUGAGAUUGACACAUGCUCUUGAGAUUACCAAAGGCUUUUGUCAUGUAUUUCUUAAGCUCCCUGUUAACCUUCUCUUCAUCCCACAUAAAACCUUGAAUGUUCUGAACCCACUCAAAAUAACUAACAGUCACACCUCCAGCAUUGGCAUAUAUGUCGGGAAGAAUUAAAACACCUUUCUUCGACAGAAUCUCAUCAGCAUCUGGAUCAGUCGGAUGAUUUGCUGCUUCUACGAUGAACUUGGCAUUUACAUGAUCAGCAUUUUCUCUGUUCAAAACUCCUCCCAGAGCACAGGGUAUAAGAACAUCGCAAUCGUGCGUAAGCAAUUCAUCUGUGUUCAUUACAUCACCACCGCCGAAAUCAAUUAGGUUCCCUGUUGCUUCUUUAUGACUAAGCAAAGCUGGUAUAUCAAGACCAUUCUGAUUCUUGAUUGCUCCAGUUAUAUCACUAACUGCAACUACUUUGCCACCUAUCUCGUGAAUAAGCUUUGCUACCCAUGAUCCUACGUUCCCGAACCCCUGAAUAGCAAAAGUCAAAUCCUUAAUCUGCUUCCCCUGCUCAUUAAGCAAAGCUUCUGCAGCAUAAACGACACCACGUCCAGUUGCAGCUUCCCUACCCAACGAACCGCCAAGAUCAACUGGUUUCCCGGUCACAACUGCAGGAGAGUGACCAUGAAAUUUUGAAUACUCAUCCAAAAUCCAAGCCAUGGUCUGAGCAUUGGUUCCCAUAUCAGGCGCAGGGACAUCAGUAUUAAUUCCAAUUAGGUCAUGGAUUUUCUGCGUGAAAACACGUGUAAGGCGCUCCAGUUCGCUUAAACUUAACUCUUUUGGUAUGCAGCCAAUCCCACCCUUUGCUCCCCCGUAUGGAAUAUCUGCUACCGCAGUCUUCCAAGUCAUUAGUUGAGCAAGGGCGUUCACCUCAUCAAGAUCAACCUCGGGGUGGUAUCUGAUUCCUCCUUUCAUGGGUCCACGAGCAUUAUCAUGUUGUACUCUAAAUCCAACAUAGGAAACAA